Molecule: transfer RNA, 81 nt
Filed under: Ulva flexuosa
Lineage: Eukaryota; Viridiplantae; Chlorophyta; Ulvophyceae; Ulvales; Ulvaceae
Also listed under: 2 other names
Description: tRNA-Leu
Rfam family: tRNA
About the family: Transfer RNA (tRNA) molecules are approximately 80 nucleotides in length.
Source: RNAcentral
GCUCUUCUGGUGGAAUUGGUAGACACGCUGGUUUUAGGAACCAGUGCUUUUAGCGUGAGGGUUCGAGUCCCUCGAAGAGCA